This 377-nucleotide ribosomal RNA is filed under the name uncultured delta proteobacterium. RNAcentral's name for it is "bacterial SSU rRNA". It matches the Rfam family "Bacterial small subunit ribosomal RNA", at positions 521 to 896 of the family's 1533-position model. Lineage: Bacteria; Deltaproteobacteria. The record is from RNAcentral.
UAAUACGGAGGGUGCAAGCGUUGUUCGGAAUUAUUGGGCGUAAAGAGCGUGUAGGCGGCUUGGCAAGUCGGGUGUGAAAGCCCGGGGCCCAACCCCGGAAUUGCACUCGAAACUGCCUCGCUAGAGUCCCGGAGAGGAAGGCGGAAUUCUCGGUGUAGGGGUGAAAUCCGUAGAUAUCGGGAGGAACACCAGUGGCGAAGGCGGCCUUCUGGACGGUGACUGACGCUGAGACGCGAAAGCGUGGGGAGCAAACAGGAUUAGAUACCCUGGUAGUCCACGCCGUAAACGUUGGGUGCUAGGUGUCGCGGGUAUUGACCCCUGCGGUGCCGUCGCUAACGCAUUAAGUGCUCCGCCUGGGGACUACGGUCGCAAGACUA